RNAcentral lists this transfer RNA (103 nucleotides) under Candidatus Woesearchaeota archaeon. RNAcentral's name for it is "tRNA-Lys". It matches the Rfam family "tRNA". From Rfam's summary of the family: Transfer RNA (tRNA) molecules are approximately 80 nucleotides in length. Lineage: Archaea; Nanobdellati; Candidatus Woesearchaeota. The record is from RNAcentral.
GGGCCGGUAGCUCAGCCUAGUAGAGCACCGGACUUUUAAUCCGGUGGUCGCGAGUUCGAAGGCAUCUUUCAAAAGAAAGAUGCCGAAUGUCUCGCCCGGCCCA